Molecule: non-coding RNA, 29 nt
Filed under: Rattus norvegicus (Norway rat)
Lineage: Eukaryota; Metazoa; Chordata; Mammalia; Rodentia; Muridae
Source: RNAcentral
UAAGACAUCAUCUAUCAGCGUGUCUGUCU